Molecule: ribosomal RNA, 754 nt
Filed under: Bacillus sp. FJAT-17838
Lineage: Bacteria; Bacillati; Bacillota; Bacilli; Caryophanales; Bacillaceae
Description: bacterial SSU rRNA
Rfam family: Bacterial small subunit ribosomal RNA
Source: RNAcentral
CAGUCGAGCGGACAGAAGGGAGCUUGCUCCCGGAUGUUAGCGGCGGACGGGUGAGUAACACGUGGGUAACCUGCCUGUAAGACUGGGAUAACUCCGGGAAACCGGAGCUAAUACCGGAUAGUUCCUUGAACCGCAUGGUUCAAGGAUGAAAGACGGUUUCGGCUGUCACUUACAGAUGGACCCGCGGCGCAUUAGCUAGUUGGUGGGGUAAUGGCUCACCAAGGCGACGAUGCGUAGCCGACCUGAGAGGGUGAUCGGCCACACUGGGACUGAGACACGGCCCAGACUCCUACGGGAGGCAGCAGUAGGGAAUCUUCCGCAAUGGACGAAAGUCUGACGGAGCAACGCCGCGUGAGUGAUGAAGGUUUUCGGAUCGUAAAGCUCUGUUGUUAGGGAAGAACAAGUGCGAGAGUAACUGCUCGCACCUUGACGGUACCUAACCAGAAAGCCACGGCUAACUACGUGCCAGCAGCCGCGGUAAUACGUAGGUGGCAAGCGUUGUCCGGAAUUAUUGGGCGUAAAGGGCUCGCAGGCGGUUUCUUAAGUCUGAUGUGAAAGCCCCCGGCUCAACCGGGGAGGGUCAUUGGAAACUGGGAAACUUGAGUGCAGAAGAGGAGAGUGGAAUUCCACGUGUAGCGGUGAAAUGCGUAGAGAUGUGGAGGAACACCAGUGGCGAAGGCGACUCUCUGGUCUGUAACUGACGCUGAGGAGCGAAAGCGUGGGGAGCGAACAGGAUUAGAUACCCUGGUAGUCC